GGAAUGUCUUCACCAAUCAAGAAAAGGCACUCAGGGCAUAGCCUGCUUCUUUCAACUGUCACACCACUUGUCCCUCAUGUUUUGGCUGCUAACACGACUAAAGCAGAUAUGAGAGUUCAAGUUUCAGGGCUGCUACUCCAGGAAACAGAUCUGCCAUCAUCUCCAGCUGUGUCAGAAUCUGUCACUUUAUCUCCGAAUUGGGCCAUUUGAGGUAGAAAGUGUCCUGAUGGAGCAUCCUGCAGUUGCAGAGUCAGCUGUUGUCAGCAGCCCAGACCCCAUCAGAGGGGAGGUAAAAGAACGGAUUCGUCUCCACUUUAUCAUCUGUUGGCAGUCCAACACAUACUUUUAAAUGGUUGUAAAGGCUUUUAUUGUUCUGAAUGCUGAUUAUAAGUCACAUGAUCAAGAACGACUGAAAAAGGAGAUUCAGGAGCAUGUAAAAAGAACCACAGCACCUUACAAAUAUCCCAGAAAGGUAGAAUUUAUUCAAGAGCUGCCAAAGACUGUCAGUGGGAAGAUAAAAAGAAAUGAACUGAGGAAGAAAGAAUGGGAAACAAUUUAAAUCCAUUCUAUUAAUUAUUGCAAUAUCUAUAAAACAAAGAC
Molecule: long non-coding RNA, 600 nt
Organism: Manis javanica (Malayan pangolin)
Lineage: Eukaryota; Metazoa; Chordata; Mammalia; Pholidota; Manidae
Source: RefSeq, a predicted model, not a curated record